This is a long non-coding RNA of Homo sapiens (human), 1694 nucleotides long. The record is from Ensembl. NCBI's taxonomy places the organism in Eukaryota, Metazoa, Chordata, Mammalia, Primates, Hominidae.
AGAAUUGCAGUUUCAGCCACCAGCAGCUCUCCGAUGGGCACAGGCUCCACUUAUGGCUGGUUUGGAAUGGCAAAUCCAUCACUCUCUUUGCCUGUAAAAUGCCAAGGAGACUGAUCUAAGCAGGGGGUUCCCAUCCAUGGCCUGCUCUAGGCCUGAAGGAACACAGAUGGCAUUUGCAGGAAGAUGACAUCUCACCAUCCCCAUCUGAGCAAAGCCUGCCCAUCAAACAACCAAAGGAUAGCCAGUCCCCUGCACAGUGUAAAGUGACUUGCAGUGAUCCUCUUCCCCAAGGCCAGCCCCAGCUCUCAGACCUCCAGUCCCAACAAGUCUUUUUUUGCAAAGGAGGCUCACCCUGGAACAUGGCUCUCCCAAGGGGAGACAGGAACGGAUGUUGACUUCAUCCCAGCAGCUUCUGACACAAUGCCACUAUCUUUCAACUUUCUCCACCAACAGGGUCAGGCUGUUGAUUGGCCUCGACUGCAGUUAGCCUGACACGGCUAGCAGCCUCAAAACAAAUUAAACGAGGCAGGGAUGCCGUGCAGUGAUCGUUCCAUUAUGUCCCCUCUGCUUCCACACGUGACUCACACUAUCACUUUUAGAAGGUGAAGCAUCUUAUUGAAUCAACACCUAAUCUGCACACAGUGUCACGGAGGAGGGGCGAGGGGACAGCGGGAGCAUUUUCUCUGAUCCUUUUCUUUCCUGAAGACUUCGCUGGAGACAGGCUGGGUGGGGGCGAAGAUGAAUUGUGAGGAACCCUGACCCUAUUUCAGGCAAGCAAAGACCACAAGAUUCUUCUGCACAUUUUCUCUUUACACCCUCUAGUACUGCUGCUACUGUCAGCUCCGACAGAUUUAUAGCCCAUUCAUUCAUGGGAACAAAAACCCUGCCACGGCUGGUCAUGGGACACGCAAUAGCAGUUAGUUCAAAAGAUAACAGCUGCAAUACCUCACCUCUCCAUUCAGCACUACAGAGCCAGCACUACUUCGGAGGUAAUAAAUGCUUCUUGUUAGUGUGCUUUGAGUCAUAAUCCUGGAAUAACUGUGGUCGGCCUUACCCCGGGCCCCGCCCCUAGGGAAACCGCUUUCUGCCACUCCCCAACACCCACCCCGCACCUUCACUCCAGCCCCUUUCUGCCAGAAAAGAGGGGAGUGGGGGGUUGAAGGCAGCCCACUGCGUAACCAAAAAGUGGACCCUGUCUCCUUUUUCCAGUCCACCCAACACAAGCUGGGUUGCUGAACCUUUGCAACUCAAGCACUUAGGCAACGCUGAAAAGCCGAGCUUCCUCGUGGUAAGUGGCAAUGUGGGUAUAUACAUUCUCCUUGCAAACUGAUCAGAAACAGAGCUCGGGCAUGAGUCCUGUCCCGACAAGAAGAGGCAGCUGGUCUGACUAGUCCACCACCAUCCUCAGAGCCUGGACACACACAACAAGCAUGUAUUAAAAGAAUCCAUGGAUUUUUUUUUUAAGUAGUGAAUGACCUGGGGAGGAAUAGAGGAUCGGUUCCACCCCGCUCACUCAGAGCAGGAAAAGGUUUAAUGCAAGAAGCAAUAUAGUGGUGAAGCGUUCUGCCUCAUUUUGAAGUCGGCCUUUCCCACCCACAGGCCUCAGUUUACUCAUCUUAAAAUGGGGAUGUUAACUGUACCGAUUCUACCAACAAAUCAGGGAUUUGUUGCUAGAAUUAAACAUAAAAAGUAAA